This 357-nucleotide ribosomal RNA is filed under the name uncultured fungus. RNAcentral describes it as "SSU rRNA". It matches the Rfam family "Eukaryotic small subunit ribosomal RNA", at positions 21 to 370 of the family's 1831-position model. The record is from RNAcentral. Lineage: Eukaryota; Fungi.
UGUAGUCAUAUGCUUGUCUCAAAGAUUAAGCCAUGCAUGUCUAAGUAUAAACAACUUUAUACUGUGAAACUGCGAACGGCUCAUUAUAUCAGCAAUAAUUUAUUUGAUGGUUCCUUACUACAUGGAUAACUGUAGUAAUUCUAGAGCUAAUACAUGCGUAAAGGCCCGACUCUUGCGGGGAGGGCUGUAUUUAUUAGAUAAAAAACCAAUGCGGGCUCUGUCCGGUUUUGUGGUGAAUCAUAGUAACUUUUCGAAUGGCAUGACUUCACGUCGGCCAUAUUUCAUUCAAAUUUCUGCCCUAUCAGCUUUCGACGGUAGUGUAGUGGACUACCGUGGCGUCAACGGGUAACGGGGAAU